Molecule: ribosomal RNA, 569 nt
Filed under: Enterobacter sp.
Lineage: Bacteria; Pseudomonadati; Pseudomonadota; Gammaproteobacteria; Enterobacterales; Enterobacteriaceae
Description: bacterial SSU rRNA
Rfam family: Bacterial small subunit ribosomal RNA
Source: RNAcentral
CGGUAGCUAAUACCGCAUAACGUCGCAAGACCAAAGAGGGGGACCUUCGGGCCUCUUGCCAUCAGAUGUGCCCAGAUGGGAUUAGCUAGUAGGUGGGGUAACGGCUCACCUAGGCGACAAUCCCUAGCUGGGCUGAGAGGAUGACCAGCCACACUGGAACUGAGACACGGUCCAGACUCCUACGGGAGGCAGCAGUGGGGAAUAUUGCACAAUGGGCGCAAGCCUGAUGCACCCAUGCCGCGUGUAUGAAAAAGGCCUUCGGGUUGUAAAGUACUUUCAGCGGGGAGGAAGGUGUUGUGGUUAAUAACCCCACCAAUUGACGUUACCCGCAGAAAAAGCACCGGCUAACUCCGUGCCACCAGCCGCGGUAAUACGGAGGGGGCAAGCGUUAAUCGGAAUUACUGGGCGUAAAGCGCACGCAGGCGGUCUGUCAAGUCGGAUGUGAAAUCCCCGGGCUCAACCUGGGAACUGCAUUCUAAACUGGCAGGCUGGAGUCUCGUAGAGGGAGGUAGAAUUCCAGGUGUAGCGGUGAAAUGCGUAUAGAUCUGGAGGAAUACCGGUGGCGAAAG